This is a long non-coding RNA of Triticum dicoccoides, 899 nucleotides long. RefSeq lists it as uncharacterized. The transcript has 4 exons. The record is from RefSeq and is a predicted model, not a curated record. NCBI's taxonomy places the organism in Eukaryota, Viridiplantae, Streptophyta, Magnoliopsida, Poales, Poaceae.
GAACGAACCAGCGCCCCACUCACCCCGCCUGACUCCUCCCCUCCUCUCUCUCGCCUUAAUUCCGCUCUGAACGGAUUCCUCACACCCUCCCUAACUCCUAACCUUCCGUUACCCGCGCUAGAACGCCGCCCUAAUGGCCAUUAGAACACCGGAAACAGCCGCCAUGAAGAAGCCAUAAUUCCGGCGACGCCCUGCAACGUUCCGACCUCCCCUGCAUCCUAUAAAAGGCCCCCUCCCCUCAUAACUCUCUCCUUGCCCGAACCCCUCUCCUUCGGGAGCUUAUACCCCUACCCAUCGUCGUGAAUUGCUCAGCGGAGUUGCCUGACACUGCUGCUGUUCGUGGAAGGUUCCGGCGAGUUCGAGCCGGAGCACGAGUUCUUCGUUGUCUGAUUUCGGCCGGAGUUGCGCCCAACUCCGGCGACAUCUAGCAGCCACCUAAAGGCGAACCAGGAGCCGACUUCGUGUCCUGGAGACUCACCCCGACUUCCUCUCCCUCGUCCACUUCUCUACCAUUCCCGGAGAUCGCCGCGUCGCUUCACGUCCGAGCCACCGUCACCGGCCAUCUCCAUCUCCGGAUAUUCACAGUUUUCUCAUCCCACAACCGACUACAUCUUCUUCAUCAUCACUAACUGUGGCUCCACAACCAUCAUUAGUAUUUUCAGCAAGGAAAACUCCUUCACAGUGUACCUUCAAAGUUCCUCUUUCAGAUCUCGACAGAUUAAGAGACGAUAGGGUUAUGGUCUACACUCAACGAGCCGAGUGGCGUUGAUGGAGCCUUAACUUAACGACUACGUAUUAUUCCGCUGUAUUAUGUGCCAGCAUUGAGCUGUGCCAAUGGUAUGUAUUUGUUUAAUUCUGGAUGUACCAUUGUAGUAAAAUGAUGUAUGUUAUACUGAUAU